AUACGUAGGUGACAAGCGUUAUCCGGAUUUACUGGGCGUAAAGGGCGUGUAGGCGGUCUUGCAAGUCAGAAGUGAAAUUCCUGAGCUCAACUCGGGCGCUGCUUCUGAAACUGCAGGACUUGAGUGCUGGAGGGGAUAGCGGAAUUCCUAGUGGAGCGGUAAAAUGCGCAGAUAUUAGGAAGAACACCGGUGGCGAAGGCGGCUAUCUGGACAGUAACUGACGCUGAGGCGCGAAAGCGUGGGGAGAAAACAGGAUUAGAUCCCCUGGUAGUCCACGCCGUAAACGAUGAAUACUAGGUGUAGGGGGUAUCGACUCCCUCUGUGCCGCAGUUAACACAAUAAGUAUUCCGCCUGGGGAGUACGGCCGCAAGGUUGAAACUCAAAUGAAUUGACGGGG
This 397-nucleotide ribosomal RNA is filed under the name uncultured bacterium. RNAcentral's name for it is "partial 16S ribosomal RNA". It matches the Rfam family "Bacterial small subunit ribosomal RNA", at positions 523 to 918 of the family's 1533-position model. The record is from RNAcentral.